This 441-nucleotide ribosomal RNA is filed under the name uncultured bacterium. Its description in RNAcentral is "bacterial SSU rRNA". It matches the Rfam family "Bacterial small subunit ribosomal RNA", at positions 354 to 796 of the family's 1533-position model. The record is from RNAcentral.
GUAAGGGAUAUUGCACAAUGGGCGAAAGCCUGAUGCAGCAACGCCGCGUGCGCGAUGAAGGCCUUCGGGUCGUAAAGCGCUUUUCGGGUCGAGAAAGGCUGAGAAUACUCAGCUUGAUGGUAAGCCCGGAAUAAGUGUCGGCUAACUACGUGCCAGCAGCCGCGGUAAAACGUAGGACGCAAGCGUUAUCCGGAGUUACUGGGCGUAAAGCGCGGGCAGGCGGGCGCGCAAGUCGGACGUGAAAGCCGCUGGCUUAACUGGCGGAGGCCGUUCGAAACUGCGUGUCUGGAGGGCAGGAGAGGUGCGUGGAAUUCCGGGUGGAGUGGUGAAAUGCGUAGAGAUCCGGAGGAACACCAGAGGCGAAAGCGGCGCACCGGACUGCACCUGACGCUGAACCGCGAAAGCCAGGGGAGCGAACGGGAUUAGAUACCCGAGUAGUCC